Molecule: ribosomal RNA, 847 nt
Filed under: uncultured bacterium
Lineage: Bacteria
Description: bacterial SSU rRNA
Rfam family: Bacterial small subunit ribosomal RNA
Source: RNAcentral
GACGAACGCUGGCGGCGUGCUUAAUACAUGCAAGUCGAACGGGGCCGCGCAAAGCACUGUGUGCUUUGCGGGGGGUAAGAGUGAAACGGAGAGGUUAAAGAAGCGGAGCAGCGGAAGCGGCGAAGCGGAGGUAGCUCUUGAGUGUGAGCUUUAUGAGAAACGCAGCGGAGCGCAGAGCGCUUUGCGCGGCUUAGUGGCGGACGGGUGAGUAACGCGUGAGCAACCUGGCCUUUGGAGGGGGACAACAGCUGGAAACGGCUGCUAAUACCGCAUAAAAUAUGAUGAUGGCAUCGUUAUCAUAUCAAAGAUUCAUCGCCGAAGGAUGGGCUCGCGUCUGAUUAGCUAGUUGGUAGGGUAACGGCCUACCAAGGCGACGAUCAGUAGCCGGACUGAGAGGUUGACCGGCCACAUUGGGACUGAGAUACGGCCCAGACUCCUACGGGAGGCAGCAGUAGGGAAUAUUGGUCAAUGGGGGGAACCCUGAACCAGCAACGCCGCGUGAAGGAAGAAGGCAUUCGUGUUGUAAACUUCUUUGACGAAGGACGAAAAAAAUGACGGUACUUCGAAAACAAGCCACGGCUAACUACGUGCCAGCAGCCGCGGUAAUACGUAGGUGGCAAGCGUUGUCCGGAUUUACUGGGUGUAAAGGGCGCGUAGGCGGGAAUGCAAGUCUGAUGUGAAAUCUAUGGGCUUAACCCAUAAACUGCAUUGGAAACUGUAUUUCUUGAGUGAUGGAGAGGCAGGCGGAAUUCCUAGUGUAGCGGUGAAAUGCGUAGAUAUUAGGAGGAACACCAGUGGCGAAGGCGGCCUGCUGGACAUUAACUGACGCUGAGGCGCGAAAGCGUGG